AUUGAACGCUGGCGGCAUGCCUAACACAUGCAAGUCGAACGCGAAAGGGCUUCGGCCUGAGUAGAGUGGCGGACGGGUGAGUAAUGCGUGGGAAUCUGCCUUGCAGUGGGGGACAACCCGGGGAAACUCGGGCUAAUACCGCAUACGACCUACGGGGGAAAGGGGGCCUUCGGGCUCUCGCUGCAAGAUGAGCCCACGUCCGAUUAGCUAGUUGGUAGGGUAAAGGCCUACCAAGGCGACGAUCGGUAGCUGGUCUGAGAGGAUGAUCAGCCACACUGGGACUGAGACACGGCCCAGACUCCUACGGGAGGCAGCAGUGGGGAAUAUUGGACAAUGGGCGCAAGCCUGAUCCAGCAAUGCCGCGUGUGUGAAGAAGGCCUGCGGGUUGUAAAGCACUUUCAGUGGGGAAGAAAAGCGGGAUGCUAAUACCAUCCUGUCUUGACGUUACCCACAGAAGAAGCACCGGCUAACUCCGUG
This 477-nucleotide ribosomal RNA is filed under the name uncultured bacterium. RNAcentral's name for it is "bacterial SSU rRNA". It matches the Rfam family "Bacterial small subunit ribosomal RNA", at positions 29 to 507 of the family's 1533-position model. The record is from RNAcentral.